GUCUGUUCUUGCGCGUAGGGCGUCGUGACAAGGUGCUAUGUUCCUUUGACGUUAGCGGCGGACGGGUGAGUAACACGUGGGUAACCUACCUAUAAGACUGGGAUAACUUCGGGAAACCGGAGCUAAUACCGGAUAAUAUUUCGAACCGCAUGGUUCGAUAGUGAAAGAUGGUUUUGCUAUCACUUAUAGAUGGACCCGCGCCGUAUUAGCUAGUUGGUAAGGUAACGGCUUACCAAGGCGACGAUACGUAGCCGACCUGAGAGGGUGAUCGGCCACACUGGAACUGAGACACGGUCCAGACUCCUACGGGAGGCAGCAGUAGGGAAUCUUCCGCAAUGGGCGAAAGCCUGACGGAGCAACGCCGCGUGAGUGAUGAAGGUCUUCGGAUCGUAAAACUCUGUUAUUAGGGAAGAACAUACGUGUAAGUAACUAUGCACGUCUUGACGGUACCUAAUCAGAAAGCCACGGCUAACUACGUGCCAGCAGCCGCGGUAAUACGUAGGUGGCAAGCGUUAUCCGGAAUUAUUGGGCGUAAAGCGCGCGUAGGCGGUUUUUUAAGUCUGAUGUGAAAGCCCACGGCUCAACCGUGGAGGGUCAUUGGAAACUGGAAAACUUGAGUGCAGAAGAGGAAAGUGGAAUUCCAUGUGUAGCGGUGAAAUGCGCAGAGAUAUGGAGGAACACCAGUGGCGAAGGCGACUUUCUGGUCUGUAACUGACGCUGAUGUGCGAAAGCGUGGGGAUCAAACAGGAUUAGAUACCCUGGUAGUCCACGCCGUAACGAUGAGUGCUAAGUGUUAGGGGUUUCCGCCCCUUAGUGCUGCAGCUAACGCAUUAAGCACUCCGCCUGGGGAGUACGACCGCAAGGUGAAACUCAAAGGAAUGACGGGGACCCG
RNAcentral lists this ribosomal RNA (892 nucleotides) under Staphylococcus sp. Its description in RNAcentral is "bacterial SSU rRNA". It matches the Rfam family "Bacterial small subunit ribosomal RNA", at positions 46 to 923 of the family's 1533-position model. The record is from RNAcentral. Lineage: Bacteria; Bacillati; Bacillota; Bacilli; Caryophanales; Staphylococcaceae.